UUCUCCUGAUUUUUUCUAGGUGAGGAGAUAAUCUCUGGAGCUCAAAGAGUGCACAUAGCUGACUUAUUAACAUCUCGAGCAGAGGCUUGUGAAUUGAUGUCAAUACAAUAUCGCAUAUGUGAAUUCAUUUCGAUACGGCGCAUGUCCUCAUGGUGGCUUCGGAGUAGGACUAGAGCGAGUGGUUAUGCUCUUCUGCGGUCUUAGCAACAUUCGUCAGACCUCGCUCUUCCCUCGUGACCCACAGAGGCUGGUUCCAUAACAACAACGUUCUGAUCUCUCAAUAUUUUUCUCUGAUCUCCUCGCUUUGCAGGAGAUUCAGUUCUAAUUUUAUGGGCUUGACAUAAGAUAUAAUAAUUCCAUCGUUGAAGGUAUUAUUUGUGCCAUUUUUUGUGAAAUAAACUUUCUAUAUUUUUAUUUCUUAUAUUCUGCUGAAUAU
Molecule: long non-coding RNA, 436 nt
Organism: Dendrobium catenatum
Lineage: Eukaryota; Viridiplantae; Streptophyta; Magnoliopsida; Asparagales; Orchidaceae
Exons: 2
Source: RefSeq, a predicted model, not a curated record